Molecule: ribosomal RNA, 512 nt
Filed under: uncultured bacterium
Lineage: Bacteria
Description: bacterial SSU rRNA
Rfam family: Bacterial small subunit ribosomal RNA
Source: RNAcentral
GAUGAACGCUAGCGACAGGCCUAACACAUGCAAGUCGAGGGGCAGCACGGUGUAGCAAUACACGGGUGGCGACCGGCGCACGGGUGAGUAACGCGUAUGCAACCUGCCUACUACAAGGGGAUAACCCGUUGAAAGACGGACUAAUACCCUAUAACACAGGGAAUCCGCAUGGAUAUAUUUGUUAAAGAUUUAUCGGUAGUAGAUGGGCAUGCGUUCCAUUAGCUUGUUGGUGAGGUAACGGCUCACCAAGGCAACGAUGGAUAGGGGAACUGAGAGGUUGAUCCCCCACACUGGAACUGAGACACGGUCCAGACUCCUACGGGAGGCAGCAGUGAGGAAUAUUGGUCAAUGGACGAGAGUCUGAACCAGCCAAGUCGCGUGAAGGAAGACGGCCCUACGGGUUGUAAACUUCUUUUGUAAGGGAAUAAAUAGUCUUACGCGCUAAGACGUUGCAGGUACCUUACGAAUAAGGAUCGGCUAACUCCGUGCCAGCAGCCGCGGUAAAAGUCACG